CCUACGGGAGGCUGCAGUGGGGAAUAUUGGACAAUGGGGGGAACCCUGAUCCAGCCAUGCCGCGUGUGUGAAGAAGGCCCUCGGGUUGUAAAGCACUUUCAGUGAGGAAGAACGCCUGGUGGUUAAUACCCAUCAGGAAAGACAUCACUCACAGAAGAAGCACCGGCUAACUCCGUGCCAGCAGCCGCGGUAAUACGGAGGGUGCGAGCGUUAAUCGGAAUUACUGGUCGUAAAGCGCGCGUAGGUGGCUUGAUAAGCCGGUUGUGAAAGCCCCGGGCUCAACCUGGGAACGGCAUCCGGAACUGUCAAGCUAGAGUGCAGGAGAGGAAGGUAGUAUUCCCGGUGUAGCGGGGAAAUGCGUAGAGAUCGGGAGGAAUACCAGUGGCGAAGGCGGCCUUCUGGACUGACACUGACACUGAGGUGCGAAAUCGUGGGUAGCAAACAGGAUUAGAUACCCCGGUAGUC
This 465-nucleotide ribosomal RNA is filed under the name Vreelandella stevensii. RNAcentral describes it as "partial 16S ribosomal RNA". It matches the Rfam family "Bacterial small subunit ribosomal RNA", at positions 338 to 795 of the family's 1533-position model. Lineage: Bacteria; Pseudomonadati; Pseudomonadota; Gammaproteobacteria; Oceanospirillales; Halomonadaceae. The record is from RNAcentral.